Molecule: ribosomal RNA, 540 nt
Filed under: uncultured bacterium
Lineage: Bacteria
Description: bacterial SSU rRNA
Rfam family: Bacterial small subunit ribosomal RNA
Source: RNAcentral
AGAGUUUGAUCAUGGCUCAGAACGAACGCUGGCGGCGUGGAUAAGACAUGCAAGUCGAGCGAGAUUUUUUCCUGUAGCAAUACAGGGGAAAGUCUAGCGGCGAACGGGUGCUUAACACGUGGGCAACCUGCCAAGAAGUGGGGGAUAGCUCGCCGAAAGGCGAAUUAAUACCGCAUGUGAUCAGAGUGGACAUCCAUUCGAAAUCAAAGUCGGGGCAACCUGACGCUUCUUGAGGGGCCCGCGGCCUAUCAGCUAGUUGGUGAGGUAACGGCCCACCAAGGCUUUGACGGGUAGCUGGUCUGAGAGGACGACCAGCCACACUGGGACUGAGACACGGCCCAGACACCUACGGGUGGCAGCAGUCGAGAAUUUUUCUCAAUGGGGGAAACCCUGAAGGAGCGACGCCGCGUGGAGGAUGAAGGUCUUCGGGUUGUAAACUCCUGUCAUUUGGGAACAAGGUGUGCGCGUUAACUGCGCGCGCAUUGAUAGUACCAGAAGAGGAAGAGACGGCUAACUCUGUGCCAGCCGCGGCGGUAAUAC